Molecule: ribosomal RNA, 519 nt
Filed under: Trichoderma asperellum
Lineage: Eukaryota; Fungi; Ascomycota; Sordariomycetes; Hypocreales; Hypocreaceae
Description: eukaryotic LSU rRNA
Rfam family: 5.8S ribosomal RNA (bases 152-305)
Source: RNAcentral
UUACCAAACUGUUGCCUCGGCGGGGUCACGCCCCGGGUGCGUCGCAGCCCCGGAACCAGGCGCCCGCCGGAGGAACCAACCAAACUCUUUCUGUAGUCCCCUCGCGGACGUAUUUCUUUACAGCUCUGAGCAAAAAUUCAAAAUGAAUCAAAACUUUCAACAACGGAUCUCUUGGUUCUGGCAUCGAUGAAGAACGCAGCGAAAUGCGAUAAGUAAUGUGAAUUGCAGAAUUCAGUGAAUCAUCGAAUCUUUGAACGCACAUUGCGCCCGCCAGUAUUCUGGCGGGCAUGCCUGUCCGAGCGUCAUUUCAACCCUCGAACCCCUCCGGGGGAUCGGCGUUGGGGAUCGGGACCCCUCACACGGGUGCCGGCCCCUAAAUACAGUGGCGGUCUCGCCGCAGCCUCUCCUGCGCAGUAGUUUGCACAACUCGCACCGGGAGCGCGGCGCGUCCACGUCCGUAAAACACCCAACUUUCUGAAAUUGUUGACCUCGGAUCAAAUAGGAAUACCCCUGAACUUA